Molecule: microRNA, 23 nt
Filed under: Magallana gigas (Pacific oyster)
Lineage: Eukaryota; Metazoa; Mollusca; Bivalvia; Ostreida; Ostreidae
Description: Mgi-Mir-1992_5p* (star (passenger))
Source: RNAcentral
CGUCAGUGGUGGAUUGCUAGAUA